AUUGAACGCUGGCGGAAUGCUUUACACAUGCAAGUCGAACGGCAGCACGGGGGCAACCCUGGUGGCGAGUGGCGAACGGGCGAGUAAUACAUCGGAACGUGCCCAGUCGUGGGGGAUAACGUAGCGAAAGUUACGCUUAUACCGCAUACGAUCUACGGAUGAAAGCGGGGGACCGUAAGGCCUUGCGCGAUUGGAGCGGCCGAUGUCAGAUUAGGUAGUUGGUGAGGUAAAGGCUCACCAAGCCGACGAUCUGUAGCUGGUCUGAGAGGACGACCAGCCACACUGGGACUGAGACACGGCCCAGACUCCUACGGGAGGCAGCAGUGGGGAAUUUUGGACAAUGGGCGCAAGCCUGAUCCAGCCAUUCCGCGUGCAGGACGAAGGCCUUCGGGUUGUAAACUGCUUUUGUACGGAACGAAAAGGCUCUGGUUAAUACCUGGGGCUCAUGACGGUACCGUAAGAAUAAGCACCGGCUAACUACGUGCCAGCCGCCGCAGUAA
RNAcentral lists this ribosomal RNA (500 nucleotides) under uncultured bacterium. Its description in RNAcentral is "partial 16S ribosomal RNA". It matches the Rfam family "Bacterial small subunit ribosomal RNA", at positions 30 to 523 of the family's 1533-position model. The record is from RNAcentral.